This 207-nucleotide ribosomal RNA is filed under the name uncultured bacterium. Its description in RNAcentral is "partial 16S ribosomal RNA". It matches the Rfam family "Bacterial small subunit ribosomal RNA", at positions 568 to 774 of the family's 1533-position model. The record is from RNAcentral.
CACGUAGGCGGAUCGAUCAGUUAGGGGUGAAAGCCCCGGGCUCAACCUGGGAACUGCAUCCAAAACUGGCAAGCUAGAGUACGGUAGAGGGUGGUGGAAUUUCCUGUGUAGCGGUGAAAUGCGUAGAUAUAGGAAGGAACACCAGUGGCGAAGGCGACCACCUGGACUGAUACUGACACUGAGGUGCGAAAGCGUGGGGAGCAAACA